This 378-nucleotide ribosomal RNA is filed under the name Odontomantis pulchra. RNAcentral describes it as "partial 12S ribosomal RNA". The record is from RNAcentral. Lineage: Eukaryota; Metazoa; Arthropoda; Insecta; Mantodea; Hymenopodidae.
AUUAGAUACCCUAUUAUUUUUAUUGUAAACAAUAUAAGCUUGAGUAUUAAUAGCUAUGAUCUUUAAACUUAAAGAAUUUGGCGGUAUUAUAGUCUAUUUAGAGGAAUCUGUUAUGUAAUCGAUAAUCCACGUUGAACCUUACUUAUGUUUUUUUUGUAUACCGCUGUUUAAGAGAAUACUUUUAGGUUAUUUUCAAAAUAUUUAAUUUGUUAAUAUUUCAAGUCAAGGUGCAGAUGUAUAUAAGUUGAAUAAUGGAUUACAAUAAAUUUUAUUUAUUAUGAAUGUUUAUUGAAAUAUAAAUUUGAAGGCGGAUUUAAUUGUAAUUUUAUAAAGAUUAUUAAAAUGAUUUUUAGCUCUAUAAUAUGUACACAUCGCCCG